Cyprinus carpio carpio is the source of this 1899-nucleotide long non-coding RNA. Lineage: Eukaryota; Metazoa; Chordata; Actinopteri; Cypriniformes; Cyprinidae. The record is from Ensembl.
AUGAAUCACACAUUAUUCAUCGUUUUUAGUACAUUUAUUUAUUUUAUAAUUUCCCCCAAGGUCAGAUUCCAUCUCAGGUGAUACUAUCAUCACACACAGACUCUCUGGCCUUUCCAGAAUGACUAAGAAACUUCUGAAGAACCUUUUAUUGAUUGAAACAACCAGAUGAAUUUUUUUUACCUUUGUUAUCUGAAAUUACAACCUUACAUUAUAAAUUCUGAUAAAUUAGUCAUCAAAUAAAAGCAAAAUUGACAGCAUAUUGGCUUUACAUUUAUUUAUCCAAUGUAUAAACACAUGAAAGGCUGCUAAUAUGCUGAUUUUAACAAGAUAAUAUGUGCAUCAUUUUUCGUUUUUGAACAAGAAUAUGCAGACUGGAGCUUUCAUACAGAUGUACAGACAACUAAAUUGCUUUGGUGUCAGAACAUGUUUAUGGAGUCAGUUUUUAUUAAUUAAAAACAUUAGGUUUAUAUGGCGGAUCAAUAAAAUUUUUGUCUGAGUGCACAUUUCUUUGUUUUGCAUUGCAACUACUCAACAAAAACACAUUCCAUGGGAAUAAAACCCUGAAAACGCUUCCUUGUGAGAAAAAAGUAGUGUGCUUUUUGGCAACACUUAUUUUUACAAUGAUUGUAUUAUUAAUGUAUCUCAGGUAAAGCUAUUUAAAGACAUGGCACUCACAUGGGGACUGCAAAUAUACAUAAUAAUUAUUUUAACAAAUAAACAUUAAACUGAGAAUAUUUACUGAAAUGAGUUACUAAAGGGCACAGACAAAUUAAUGUCAGUGGUCAAAUAUUCAAUGCAAUAUGCUCACAGAUACUACACUGAAUAUUUGACCACUGACAUUAAUCUGUCUGUGCCCUUUAGUAACUAAUUUCAGUAAAUAUUUUCAGUUUAAUGUUUAUUUGUUAAAAUUAUUAUUGAUGUAUAUUUGCAAUCCCCAUAUUUCAUAUUUCAAAGCACAGAUUUACUCUUAUUAGGGCCUGCCCCUUAUGUGAUCAAAUGUGGAAUACAUAAUCAAUACACCUAGCACAGCUACAGUGAUCUGCAAUUAUAUAUACAGUAUAUAUAUAUAUAUAUAUAUAUAUGACAAAAUAUCAGGAAACAUUAGUCUGUAUUAUAGGGAUGCACAGUCAAUAUUACAUUUGUAAUUGUUCAUGCAUUUCCUUUGUUUUUUUGCAUUUUGAUUACUUUUAGCAUCAUCUAUAGCUUCCUUAAAGUUUAUUUAUAAAAACACUAAUAAUUUUAAAUCACUCUUGAAUGUGGCUUUUAGCAAGUCUCAAAAUGAAUAUGAAUUUUCAUACUGUACAUUAUAAUGUUGUGAUGUAUAAAUAAAAGCUUUUUUUUUUUUUUUUUUAAAUUGUGUACGUACAAUUGUAAAAUCAGCCAUUUAUUUUUAUCAUCUAUAACAGAAAAAUGAUUAUAGGCUUUUCUAUAUUGGCCAGAUUUUAAUAUUGGUGCAUCCCUAGUAUGUAUUUCAUAUACAUUUGAUAUAUUCAUGUUCUCAAAACACAGACAAGGAACUGCAUUAACAAAACCACACCUCACAAACUGUUCAUCUAACAUUAAAAACCACAAGUCUGUCUUCUCUUCAAGAAGUCCAUCUCUGAUUGGACAGCUCAUGUCCAAACACUGUCCAAUCAGCGCAGACUGUCCUCAUUUAGGACAACAUACAGUAUAUGCUGAAUCAUCUUGUGGAUUAAUUCAGCUCCAUGGAACUGAUCUGAUACAAGUCCCCCACUGCUCCUCAGCAAAAAUCCACCUUAAUUAGCCAUAUUCACUAGAUGGUGGCCCUCUAACCAGAUUGUAGUAGCCAGCCAAGGCGCCCAGAUCUAUAUAAAGGGAUCCUUUUUUCUUCGAGUGCCCAGAAUCCUCAGUGUACAAGGAAGAAUCUGAAAAUAGAAA